AUGGCGCUCCUCCGAGCCCUCCGGCGAGCCCUCCCGCCGCUCUACUCGCCGGCGGCGCCUCUUUCCCGGCACGCCCCAGGUCCUCCUGCGCUCCCUCCCCGUCCUCUCCGGCUCCUGGAUCCGAUCGGCUUCCGGCCGUUCUCCGCCGCCGCGGCCACCGCCACCGCCGUUGUGCGGGCACCGGAAAUGGGCGCCAGCCUCUUCAGAGGGCUCACGGAGACCAGGUUUCCCAAGCGGCGGCCAGGAUUCGUGUCCCGGCGCAAGAGGGCCAGCCUGCGACCCAAAGGUCCGCACUACUGGGUGAAGUGCAAGCCAGGGGAGCCUAUCCCUUCGAGCCAGCCGAAUGAGGGCAGCGUACAGGGGAGGAAGGAGAAGAAGCGGAUCAAGCAGCGCAAGGACUUUAUCAUGGUGUGCAUUUUGUUCAGUUCCUGCAAUGCUUGUUUUGAUUGUGUGAUGGGUUUAUGCAAGGUUAUCAAAAUCUAUCUGUCUCUCUGGAGUAACAGGCCAAUGAAAUUUUGA
Molecule: ribosomal RNA, 519 nt
Filed under: Triticum aestivum (bread wheat)
Lineage: Eukaryota; Viridiplantae; Streptophyta; Magnoliopsida; Poales; Poaceae
Description: partial small subunit ribosomal RNA
Source: RNAcentral